Molecule: small nuclear RNA, 74 nt
Filed under: Fukomys damarensis (Damara mole-rat)
Lineage: Eukaryota; Metazoa; Chordata; Mammalia; Rodentia; Bathyergidae
Description: U2 spliceosomal RNA
Source: Rfam by way of RNAcentral
AUUGCUUCUUGGCCUUUUGGCUAAGAUCAAGUGUAGAAAAGAUUUUGUAUUUACAAUUUUCAUAUCCACUCAUU